UAGUCCAAGUUGUCAUAGUUAGAGGCCAGACAGAUACUGAUCCAUUCUUAUCCUUGUGAGAAGCUAUCAUCCCUUUGAGCUCCCAGCCUACACAGAGUUGAUGUCUCCUCAUUCAGUCCCUCCCUUCUAUCUCCACUGCCACAGCCCUAGCUGAGACCUUAGUCAAUAUAACUUGAGGACUGUGCCAUUUCCUCCUUGUUCUCCUCACUGCCACUUAUACUAAUCUUUUCUACUUCCCAUUCUUUCCAGAGGAAUCUAUCUUGUGCACAGCAAUUAGCAUGUCACUCCUCUGACCAGAAACCUUCAUUGGUUCUCUUUUGCUUGCAAAGCAAAGUCCAGAUUCCUGAACCAGUGUGUAAACUCAUCAAGACAAGGAACCAUGCCUGUCUCUUCUUUGCAACCCCGUUGUGUCUGGUGCUUUGGGAGAGAACUACAGAAGCACUUGUGAACGGACAAUGAGUGGGUUCUCUCUCAGCUUAAUUAGUCAGUUGCCCUCUAAUGCUUCACAGUUCUUAAGAGCAGCCUAUUUCUCCUGUCUACAGACACGAAGCCUCCUGAGAUGACAUGCCCGACCGGGAGAAGAGAGGCAGGCUCCAGGCGAAAUCCAUGGGGAGAUACAGCCACAGCAGUGACCUCCCAGCUCCCAGAACCAGCUCUGUGCCAAGUAUAUUUGGGGGCAUUAGCUUUGGAGCCCAAGGCUGUGUCUAUACAGUGUAACAGAGACCUGCCUCUGUACGAGAUUUGGUAUUUGUGCUUGUCAUGAGGGCACAGUGCCCAGCAGUGGUUCAGACUAUGUGCGAUGGUUCCAAUUUGGUUGUUAAAGCUGCCAAAAGAGUGACUAAUGCAACUGACAAAAAUAUUUUUGGUGAACCAAUGACAUCAACCACUUGACCACUGGUCUCUAUUUGAGUUGGAAAAUCCAAAUGAAGCAAAAUAAACAGUCCAUAGGAUGAGGACAUAUUUGUCAGGGGGUGUGUCUCAUGAGGAAUUAUCUCCUUUCCUGGGGUCAUCAUGUGCAGAGCAGGGACGCUGCCAUAGCCCUGUCAGGGUCCUUUCCCUUCCUGCUCCUUGUGUCCAUCUCCCUGAGAGACGCUCUUCUUCCCUUUCAGGCUGGGUAUGCAUCGAACUAUUUCCUCUUAGAUAAAGUCAUUUGCAUUUGCCUCCCAAGAUGACUCUCCUUUCAUUGGGUGCUGUCCAUAUUUCUAGUCUGCUAAGUCCAUUUAUAUUAUCACUUGGCCUUGCCUGACGCUUGGCCUAUUUCUCUGUUCAGUGUUGCCAUGACUUCAGAGUGACCACAGAGCAGGCCAGGAGUACACGUCCUUCCAUUACGGGAAGAAGGUGGGGAGAAGAGGAAGAAAAAGCCAACAAGAAGAAAAACAACCAUAUUGUACUUCCUGAGCAGGAACAGGCUGUGGUUUUGUACAAAAUUUGCAGCGAAGAACAAGUCAUACAGAUAAUAAUAAAUAGCAAACAACAGGAUGUGUACACACCAACUUUUUCAGCCCUCACCCCCACUCUCUGAAGCAGAUCCUGAUUAUCUCCCCUUUAACGGAGGAAGCUGAGGCAAGAAAGGAGAAGUAAUGUGCCCAAAACAACACAGCUAGAAAGUGGCAGAGACUGGAUCCUGUGGAAUAUGCAUGUCAUUAUACAAAUCUUAUGUUUCAGUAGUUUCAAAAUGUCCUGUCCUUAAGCUCAGGUGCCAGAUAUGUCGCUGAUUUCAGUAUCUGUUUGGGAAACCCAAGCAAUAUCAUUUUCUUCAUAGCUCCAAUGAUCCACCCACUCCUGGGGCAUUUUUGCACACUUCUGCCAUGAUCACACUUCUGCUGAGGUGAUCAGGUACAGUGUGUGUGUGUGCGCGCAUGUGUGUGUGUGUGUGUGUGUGUGUGUGUGUACACAAAUAUAUGCAUAGGAAACAGGUUUUGGGUCAUUAAUUAUUUUACAGAAAUGUGAUCCCAUUAUAGACACAGUUAUUCCAUUUGUCUUGUUCGCUCAUAAAAACUAAUGGAAAUCCUUUCAAGGCCAUUGUUAGGGAAAGAAUUCAUGCUUUGUAAUGGCGGCACCAUAUUUCAUGGCACGAGUGUAUUAUACUAAUGCACACAACCCCCUAUAGAUGAACAGUCACUUUGUUUUCAUGACCUUAAUUGUAAUUCUAAUUGUAAUUGAUACAGUGUUGGCGUGAAUAAUGUUGCAAUAAGAAUCCCUGGGUGUGUAUUCUUAUGUCCUGGGAAUUGUAUUUCUGAGGAAACCAAUUCAAUGGUGGUUAGAAUAUUUACAGAGCUGUGCAGUCAUCACAACCCAUAUCAGAACAUUUUUAUCUCUUUUCAAAAAAAAUCCAUACCCAAUAGUGGUCACUUUUCACUUCUCACCAACCUUCCAUCUUUAGGCAACCACUAAUCUAUUUUCUGUCACUAUAGAUUUCCCAAUCCUGAGCAUUUUGGAGAAAUGGAAUUCUGCAGUAUGUGGUCUGUUAUGAUUUGCUUCUUUUGCUUAGCAUAAAGUUUUCAAGGCUCUGCCAUGGCACAGGAAGUAUCAGUACCUUACUCUUUUCCAUGGCUGAAUCAUAUUCAACUACACAGCUCUACUACAUUCUGUUUGUCCCUAAGUGGUCCUUUGGACUGCUUCCACCUUUUGGCUACUGUAAAUAGUACUAUUUUGUACAUGGUGUACAUGUAUUGGUUUGAGUCUCUGUUUUCAAUUCUCUGGGGUACAUACUGUGUUAGUCAAGCUUCUCCAAAGAAACAGAAUCAAGAUAUAAAUGAAGAGAUUUAUCUAAUGGUGUUGGCUUAUGUAAUUAUGGAGGCCGAGAAGUCCCAUGAUCAGCUUUCUGCCAGCUGGAGUCCCAGUAGACCAGUGGUAGAUUGAAGACCUAAGCCGGAGAGCUAAUGGUACAGAUUUCAGUCUGAAGGCCUGAAAAGCAAGGGCUCCAAGGGCAGGAGACUGAUGCCCCAGCUCAAACACUCAGGCACAGAGCAAAGUCAACUUUCUUUGGCUUUUUCAUUCUACUCAGGCCCUCAAUGAAUUGGGUGAUACCCACCUGCAUUGGGAAGGACCCUCGGCUUCACUCUGUCCACCAACUCAAAUGCCAAUCUUUUCUGGAAACACCUUUUCUGGAAAUAUCCAGAAAUAAUGUUUAAGUGGUCAUCUGGACAGCCCAGUCAAGCUGACAUGUAACAUUAACCAUCACAUACACCAAGGAGUGGCAUUGUUGGGUCCUAUGUAGAGAGAAGAGAGAAAUCUUCAUUCUAGAAUAGUAGAGC
This is a long non-coding RNA of Mustela erminea (ermine), 3257 nucleotides long. RefSeq lists it as uncharacterized. The record is from RefSeq and is a predicted model, not a curated record. NCBI's taxonomy places the organism in Eukaryota, Metazoa, Chordata, Mammalia, Carnivora, Mustelidae. The transcript is spliced from 3 exons.